Molecule: long non-coding RNA, 1037 nt
Organism: Talpa occidentalis (Iberian mole)
Lineage: Eukaryota; Metazoa; Chordata; Mammalia; Eulipotyphla; Talpidae
Exons: 4
Source: RefSeq, a predicted model, not a curated record
UGUCCCCCUGACGUGUCUCACGGCCGCCCCCACCAACCCCGUCCGCGCUGCCGCCAGACCCGCCUCUGCAGUACUCUCUCCGGCACCCGGGACUGAAGAUAAGACAGGAAGGCUCCCCGUCUCUUUCUGACACACCAGCACUUUCACAACUCUCCAGCUCUCCUACGUGCUAGAUCUCCUCCUCCAGACCUGGCGCCCCAGAUGAAUCUUAGGGGAACGGUGAUGCAGAAUGUGACCACAGAGCCAAACAGCCGGACACGUGGGGCAGGUGACCUCCUCCAGAGCCCAUGGCAGCCGCUGAGAUGGGGCCUGACCUUUCGUGCACGUUCUACACCAAGGACAACUUUCCAGAGAGACCGAGGAGCACGCCCACUGCCGCACAGUCAGAAAGGGACUGACCAGGGCUGGACCCCAGUCAGAGUGGCCCCUGGUCCCCCGCGUGCAGCCACCGUGCUCAGCCAUGGUGAGAGAUGUUGAUGAAAACAAAAAGAAAACAACCAAAAGGACCAGGCCUUUGGAAGCUGGUGGCUCCUGGAGGGAUGGGUCUUUGACUCAUUCACCUUGUGUGGCCAGCACCCGGGGCAAGAGGCAGCGGCAGUGCUUUGCCAACAAAAUAAAGGAGUGAAUGAAUGAAGGAACCAAUGAACGAGUAAUGGGCCACAGCUAGAAUUUAAGAGAAUACAAAAGCUUUUCAUGCCCUGACAUAUUUUAGAAUUUGUGCUACAUAAGUUUUAUGGUACUGUUGUUAUUUGUAUUGGACAUGAUCAGUUCUUCCACAGUGAAUACAAUGUGAAUAGCAAUGCUUAAGAUUAAAAAAACCCACAAAAACCCAGAAACUCCAAAUGGCCGAAAAACUUGUCUGAGUUAUUUUUUUAAGAGUAACUCAAAUAGUCCUUCAUGAACAUGCACACCAUUUUCAAGGGUUAUUGCUAGUGGGAGGGUUUCUACAGCAGAGGAAAGAAAAUAUUCAGGGAGAAUUCAAUUAAGUGUGACAUUUGCUUGUCUUUCACAAUAAAAAAAUAUCCUGUCUCAAAUUU